AGCUGCCCGUGGUUUAUACAGAUAUGAUGGAGACAACAGUUCACAUUAUUUACAUCACCCAUGGGAAGGAAUGGACAAAUAUCUGUACUGUAAGGUCUAUUGUCGAUAUAACAGCCUGUUCAGAUUUGUGGCGGUGUGCGCACAGUGCUUUCGGUUUGGUAGCCGCUGUUCACAUUCACUGUACAUGAUGAAGCAUAAUUAUUAUCAGG
Molecule: long non-coding RNA, 209 nt
Organism: Thalassophryne amazonica
Lineage: Eukaryota; Metazoa; Chordata; Actinopteri; Batrachoidiformes; Batrachoididae
Exons: 3
Source: RefSeq, a predicted model, not a curated record